AACGCGAAGAACCUUACCUACCCUUGACAUGGUCGGAACCUGGCUGAAAGGCUGGGGUGCUCGAAAGAGAACCGGCGCACAGGUGCUGCAUGGCUGUCGUCAGCUCGUGUCGUGAGAUGUUGGGUUAAGUCCCGCAACGAGCGCAACCCUUGUCCUUAGUUGCUACGCAAGAGCACUCUAGGGAGACUGCCGGUGACAAACCGGAGGAAGGUGGGGAUGACGUCAAGUCCUCAUGGCCCUUAUGGGUAGGGCUUCACACGUCAUACAAUGGUCGGAACAGAGGGUUGCCAAGCCGCGAGGUGGAGCCAAUCCCAGAAAACCGAUCGUAGUCCGGAUCGCAGUCUGCAACUCGACUGCGUGAAGCUGGAAUCGCUAGUAAUCGCG
This 384-nucleotide ribosomal RNA is filed under the name uncultured Burkholderia sp. RNAcentral's name for it is "bacterial SSU rRNA". It matches the Rfam family "Bacterial small subunit ribosomal RNA", at positions 958 to 1346 of the family's 1533-position model. The record is from RNAcentral. Lineage: Bacteria; Pseudomonadati; Pseudomonadota; Betaproteobacteria; Burkholderiales; Burkholderiaceae.